GUGGGGAAUAUUGGACAAUGGGCGAAAGCCUGAUCCAGCCAUGCCGCGUGUGUGAAGAAGGUCUUCGGAUUGUAAAGCACUUUAAGUUGGGAGGAAGGGCAGUAAGUUAAUACCUUGCUGUUUUGACGUUACCGACAGAAUAAGCACCGGCUAACUUCGUGCCAGCAGCCGCGGUAAUACGAAGGGUGCAAGCGUUAAUCGGAAUUACUGUGCGUAAAGCGCGCGUAGGUGGUUUUGUAAGUUGGAGGUGAAAUCCCCGGGCUCAACCUGGGAACUGCCUCCAAAACUGCAUGACUAGAGUACGGUAGAGGGUAGUGGAAUUUCCUGUGUAGCGGUGAAAUGCGUAGAUAUAGGAAGGAACACCAGUGGCGAAGGCGACUACCUGGACUGAUACUGACACUGAGGUGCGAAAGCGUGGGGAGCAAACAGGAUUAGAUACCCCUGUAGUCC
RNAcentral lists this ribosomal RNA (450 nucleotides) under uncultured bacterium. RNAcentral's name for it is "partial 16S ribosomal RNA". It matches the Rfam family "Bacterial small subunit ribosomal RNA", at positions 354 to 796 of the family's 1533-position model. The record is from RNAcentral.